UUUGUUGCCGGCGGCCUGGGCCGCCGCCUGCUGCUGCUGCUGCUGCUGCUGCUUGAGGGACAUGGCGAAGGGGCCGGGCCGGGUGCGCGCCGGGGCCUGCUGCGCUCGCUCGCUCGCUGCUCCGGAGCCGCCGCUGUCUCGGCCGGUUGCUCCCAAACAGUGCCUGAAUAAUGAUGUGGUGACACAUUAUUGGCUGGGUGACAGUAGAUGCCAACUGAAGUGGACACAGAAGAAAGAAUUCUUUAUAUUUAAUUGGAAAUGCUUGCACUGUGAGGAGCCAGAAAUGUAAAGCUCUCUUUUUUCUCCCCUUUUUAGUAAAUUUUGUGGCCAACUAGUGAUUUCAUAACCACAGGAAUUGAAAGCCAUGGACAUCAAGUAUUCAUGCAGUUCGUGGAAGAGACUUCUGUGUGCACAGAGUUGGAGACCGCUAAAGUUACCCCUGGCACAGGUUUCAAUGAUAUUUGCAGGAAAAUUAGUCUUAUGCCAAAAUGCUGUAACCCACCUGGUGCCUGCUGCUAGAGAUGAUCUUGAGCCUUAAAUAAUGAAAAAGAAAUUUUUUCCUUUAAAAGGCAACCUGCAUAUUUUUAUAAAAUGAAGCAAGUAUCCUGAACACCUAAAUUAGACUAAGCUCUUCAGGCCAUUGGCUGAAGAGAUCAUAUGUACAGUUCCUAGUAAUAUGGUGCUUUAAUCACGACAGGGACCUCAACAUGCUACUACAAUACAAAUAAUGUAGCAGUUAAGACUCAGAUUCUAAGGUCAGAAGGGACCAUUAUGAUCAUCUAGUCUGACCUCCCGCAUGAUGCGGGCCACAAAAGCUGACCCACCCACUCCUGGAAUAAUUCCCUCCCUUGACUCAGCUGUUGAAGUCCCCAAAUCAUGAUUUAGAGACUUCAAAUUGCAGAGAAUCCUCCAGCAAGCAACCCCUGCUCCAUGCUGCCGAGGAAGGCGAAAAACCUCCAGGGCCUCUGCCAAUCUACCCUGGAGGAAAAUUCCUUCCCGACCCCAAAUAUGG
This 1012-nucleotide long non-coding RNA is filed under the name Chrysemys picta bellii (western painted turtle). RNAcentral's name for it is "lncRNA (ENSCPBG00000003484.1)". The record is from RNAcentral. Lineage: Eukaryota; Metazoa; Chordata; Testudines; Emydidae.